AGGGCCCCUGCUAAGCUCCUGGGGCUCCUGCUGCUCUGCCUCCCAGGUGCCAGAUGUGACAUCACAAUGACCCAGUCUCCAUCCUACCUGUCUAAAUCUCCAGGAGAAAGAGUCACCAUCACAUGCAGGGCAAGUCAGGGCAUCAGCAGUUACUUAAACUGGUACCAGCAAAAACCAGGUCAAUCUCCUAAGCGUCUCAUCUAUGGUGCAUCCAAUCUGCAAUCUGGUGUUCCCUCAAGAUUCAGUGGGAGUGGAUCUGGGACAGAUUUCACUCUCACCAUCAGCAGCCUGGAGCCUGAAGAUUUUGCCACUUAUUACUGUUUACAGUAU
Marmota flaviventris (yellow-bellied marmot) is the source of this 330-nucleotide non-coding RNA. Lineage: Eukaryota; Metazoa; Chordata; Mammalia; Rodentia; Sciuridae. The record is from RefSeq and is a predicted model, not a curated record.